UGCUAAAUUUUGUAAAUUGUUAUCAAGAAAUGAGAAGAUUGAUGUGUUAUUAGUGUUCUGUUUUGCAAAUUUUGUAUAUUGUUAUCAAGAAAUGAGAAGGUUGAUAGUGUUAUUAGUGUUCUUGUUUUGCUAAAUUUUUAUUGUUAUCAAGAAAUGAGAAGAUUGAUAGUGUUAUUAGUGUUCUUAUCAAGAAACGUUUGACGCUGACCCUUUAGCAAAAUCUCUCAAAAUGAAAGGCAUGCCAUGGGGAAUUCUCCAUGGCUUCUUUCAGUCAAAAAGGAUAUGGAAGAUCACACAAGUCGAUGUAAGCCAUGACCACUGUUCGUUUGAAUUUAUGAUGGUUUUCAAAGGCCACACCAUUGCUCUUCCUAUAUUCGUACGCCAUCUUUAGGACUCUAUUAUGUGGUUAUUUCUUGCUUUUUUUCUUUAGCAUACAAUCUUAUAUUGUUAUAGAAAAAAGAAAGAUUGAUAGUGUUAUUAGUGUUCUUGUUUUCUAAAUUUUGUAUAUUGUUAUCAAGAAAUGAGAAGAUUGAUAGUGUUAUUAGUGUUCUUUUGUAAAUUUUGUAUAUUGUUAUCAAGAAAUGAGAAGAUUGAUAGUGUAUUAGUGUUCUUGUUUUGCUAAAUUUGUAUAUUGUUAUCAAGAAAGAGAAAUUGAUAGUGUUAUUAGUGUUCUUGUUUUGCUAAAUUUUGUAUAUUGUUAUCAAGAAUGAGAAGAUUGAUAGUGUUAUUAGUGUUCUUGUUUGUCUAAAUUUUGUAAUUGUUAUCAAGAAAUGAGAAGAUUGAUAGUGUUAUUAGUGUUCUUGUUUUGCUAAAUUUUGUAUUUGUUAUCAAGAAAUGAGAAGGUUGAUAGUGUUAUUAGUGUUCUUGUUUUGCUAUUUUGUAUAUUGUUAUCAAGAAAUGAGAAGAUUGAUAGUGUUAUUAGUGUUCUUAUCAAGAAACGUUUGACGCUGACCCUUUGAAAUCUCUCAAAAAUGAAAGGCAUUGCCAUGGGAAUUCUCCAUGGCUUUCUGUUCAGUCAAAAGGAUAUGGAAGAUCACAACCAAGUCGAUGUAAGCAUGACCCUGUUUUCGUUUAUUUAUGAUGGUUCAAAGGCACACCAGCUUCUAUAUUCGUACGCACAUCUUUAGGAUUAUUAGUGAGUUAUUUCUUUGCUUCUUUUUCUUAGCAUACUAAUCUGUAUAUUGUAUCAGAAAAAGAAGAUUGAUAGUGUUAUUAGUGUUUUGUUUUUCUAAAUUUUGUAUAUUGUUAUCAAGAAAUGAGAAGAUUGAUAGUGUUAUUAGUGUUCUUUUUUGCUAAAUUUUGUAUAUUGUUAUCAAGAAAUGAGAAGAUUGAUAGUGUAUUUAGUGUUCUUGUUUUGCUAAAUUUUGUAUAUUGUUAUCAAGAAAUGAGAAGAUUGAUAGUGUUAUUAGUGUUCUUGUUUUGCUAAAUUUUGUAUAUUGUUAUCAAGAAAUGAGAAGAUUGAUAGUGUUAUUAGUGUUCUUGUUUUGCUAAAUUUUAUAUUGAUACAAGAAAUGAGAAGAUUGAUAGUGUUAUUAGUGUUCUUGUUGCUAAAUUUUGUAUAUUGUUCAAGAAAUGAGAAGAUUGAUAGUGUUAUUAGUGUUUUGUUUUGCUAAAUUUUGUAUAUGUUAUCAAGAAAUGAGAUAUGAGUGUAUUAGUGUUCUUGUUUUGCUAAAUUUGUAUAUUGUUAUCAGAAAAUGAGAAGUUGAUAGUGUUAUUAGUGUUCUGUUUUGCUUAUUUUGUAUAUUGUUAUCAAGAAAUGAGAAGAUUGAUAGUGUUUAUUAGUGUUUCUUGUUAUCAAGAAACGUUUGACCGCUGACCCUUUAGCAAAAUCUCUCAAAAAUGAAAGGCAUUGCCAUGGGGAAUUCUCCAUGGCUUCUAUUCAGUAAAAUAAGGAUAUGGAAGAUUGUUAUUAGUGUUCUUGUUUUGCAAAAUUUUGUAUAUUGUUAUCAAGAAAUGAGAAGAUUGAUAGUGUUAUUAGUGUUCUUGUUUUGCUAAAUUUUGUAUAUUGUUAUCAAGAAAUGAGAAGAUUGAGAGUGGUAUUAGUGUUCUUGUUUUGCUAAAUUUUGUAUAUUGUUAUCAAGAAAUUAGAAGUUUGAUAGUGUUAUUAGUGUUCUUGUUUUGCUAAAUUUUGUAUAAUUUUAUCAAGAAAUGAGAAGAUUGAUAGUGUUAUUAGUGUUCUUGUUUUGCUAAAUUCUAUAUAUUGUUAUCAAGAAAUGAGAAGAUUGAUAGGGUUAUUAGUAUUCAUGUUUUGCUAAAUAUUGUAUAUUGUUAUCAAGAAAUGAGUAGAUUGAUAGUGUUAUUAGUGUUCUUGUUUUGCUAAAUUUUGUAUAUUGUUAUCAAGAAAUUAGAAGAUUGAUAGUGUUAUUAGUGUUCUUGUUUUGCUAAAUUUUGUAUAUUGUUAUCAAGAAAUGUGA
RNAcentral lists this long non-coding RNA (2414 nucleotides) under Lathyrus oleraceus (garden pea). Its description in RNAcentral is "Pisum sativum (pea) long non-coding RNA (PSAT_LNC039456)". Lineage: Eukaryota; Viridiplantae; Streptophyta; Magnoliopsida; Fabales; Fabaceae. The record is from RNAcentral.